Molecule: RNA transcript, 2269 nt
Organism: Quercus robur (English oak)
Lineage: Eukaryota; Viridiplantae; Streptophyta; Magnoliopsida; Fagales; Fagaceae
Exons: 8
Source: RefSeq, a predicted model, not a curated record
GCAGCUCCAAACGUAUUUGAGCUGCGUUCUAUUGAACGCAGCUCCACAUAUGGUAUAAAUUGAAACAAACCCUAAUUAAAACAAACACUUUUGAAAUUUCCCAAUCCCUAAUCUCAGCUCAACCUCCCGAUCCAAUCUUGCCGCCGUGCUCUCAAGAGCUCUCGCCACCGUGCUCUCAACCCACUACCCACAAACCUCACGCCUCCUCCCUCAUCAAAACCCGAAAAAUUUGCUGACCGAAGAGACCCAAGCUCUUCACUGGCGAGGCUUGCUCUGUCACCGGCAGGCUGUCACUCCACUUGAUCAAGUUUAAACGCACAAGUGAAACAAAACAAAACAUGGCCAUGAAACCUAAAACCCACAACGGAAAUGGCAACUCCAGCGACAACAACGGCAGCGGAGGAAGACAUGGUGAUUAGUAUGGUGGCUGCUUGUGUUAACCUCAGUACCUCGUUUCAUGGUGAAACCGGGUUCUGGGUCCGGUUCCGAUUCUAAUAAAGCCUCUCAGAAUGUUGUGUUUGUAGACACCAGCCUGGACACCACUUGGCCAUGUUUGUUUCAAAUUCCAACACCGUUUCCGACCUCAAAAUUUCUAUUCCUAAUGACCUUUACAUGUCGUCAACUUGCAAAGAAAAUUCUUUAUGAGCACCCACUGUGCUUUCCUAACACUGGGAAGAUACAAAUUCAUGCUCUAAAGGUAAAGCGCAAAGGAUACUUUUACCACUUAUCAGAUUCCAUGUUUGUAAAAAGUUCUUUUGAUGGAAUCAAGAAGAAUUGCUUUCUUUGUGUUGAUGCCUCUCAUUCAAUGGAGCAUGGUGAAAAUCAACAGCCAUUUGGAUCAUCAACAGCCUCGAUGCCAUCGUUUUCUCCAGAUUCAGAGGUGGUUUAACGAGAAGGGCAACACCACCUGUGAAAUAUGCCUCCAGGCUAGGCAAGUUCAUCCAGAUAAAAAUCCAAACGACUCUCAAGCGGCUUAAAGAUUUCAGGCUAGUUCAUCCAGAUAAAAAUCUACUAAUUUUUCCCUUAUAGAAAAAUUCAGGUUUUGGCUUUUCAAUACUAUAGAAACAAUAAGGAAUCUACUAACAGAAAUUUUUUAAUUUUAAUACUAUUUCCUCUACUCUAGUGUUGUGGAAUGACCUAUUUUACACAAAUUUUGGCUUCAUUUCUUCAACUUUUAUUUCAGAAGGUGUUGUUAGACCAGGCCAACAGUCAAACACAACAUUGCAUUGUCCUAAACUUAAUUAUGAUUGCAUUGUUCUAAUAUGCUUCUCAUGUGUUAAGGGUUGGUCAUUUCUUUCUCUUCCAUAUAUUCUUUGAUUCUUUUAUUUUUAAUCCUAUGGUUAGGAUUUGUAUGUUAAUUUUACACAAAUUUGGCUGUCUCUAGGCCUAAAUUUUAUAUCCAACUGCUUUGGGCUAGUGAACAUUACCCAAUCUACGCCUUUUGAGGAGACCUUCUCUCUCUCUCUCUCUCUCUCUUCUUAUAUAUAUACCUCUCUUUGUCACUAUUGUUUCUUGUGCAGUAGUAGUUGUAGUAGUAGUAAAUUCAAAAGCAGAGUUUUGUGUUUGUAUUACUUUUUGCAACCACCUAGGCUAGAAGAGAGGAAGAAGUAAGAAGAAGAAGAAUAUAGAGGUUUGAUCCAACAGAAGAGGCAGAGAAAGAGAGAGCAGCCCAUAUAGGGUCAAAGUCUACAACAUGCAUCCAAGGGUGGUCAAACCCAUCAAAAAAGUACAAGUUGUUUACUAUCUCUCAAGAAAUGGCCAUCUUGAACACCCACAUUACAUGGAAGUCACCCAUUUAGUCAAUCAACCUCUUCGUUUAAGAGGUUUUCCUAAAGCAGCAUCUUACAAAUGUUGUCUUUUGACUCCAAUUUUGGUGAUGAAGGUUAAGAAUUUAAUAGCUUGAUUUGGUUAUUGUGAAUUGGCUCCUGCAAAUCUUUCUAGUCAACUGGUUCCACAACUUGGUCAGCUUUUAAAUCUGCAAUACUUGGCCUGUGAAACGAUCAUGUUUAUUGAAGGUGAACGAUCAGCAAUAAGACAGAUCGAUCCAAUAGGAUCAGGUGGGAACUUUGUGAUGUUUUUAUUUUGUGAUGUAAAAACCAAAGUUUGUUGGGAACUUUUAUUUUAUAUGUAAUUAUUUGGAUAUGUAAUUAAUCUUUUGGCAACGAACAUAAUUGUUUUGUUUAUGUAAAAUUAUCGUUUAUGUAAUUAAUAUUUUGGUAAUGAUUUGAUACUAUAUAGUAUCAAAUAUGCAAUUUGUUUUGUUGGUUCA